This 497-nucleotide ribosomal RNA is filed under the name uncultured bacterium. Its description in RNAcentral is "partial 16S ribosomal RNA". It matches the Rfam family "Bacterial small subunit ribosomal RNA", at positions 28 to 507 of the family's 1533-position model. The record is from RNAcentral.
GAUGAACGCUGGCGGCGUGCCUAAUACAUGCAAGUCGAGCGAACAGACGAGGAGCUUGUUCCUCUGACGUUAGCGGCGGACGGGUGAGUAACACGUGGAUAACCUACCUAUAAGACUGGGAUAACUUCGGGAAACCGGAGCUAAUACCGGAUAAUAUAUUGAACCGCAUGGUUCAAUAGUGAAAGACGGUUUUGCUGUCACUUAUAGAUGGAUCCGCGCCGCAUUAGCUAGUUGGUAAGGCAACGGCUUACCAAGGCGACGAUGCGUAGCCGACCUGAGAGGGUGAUCGGCCACACUGGAACUGAGACACGGUCCAGACUCCUACGGGAGGCAGCAGUAGGGAAUCUUCCGCAAUGGGCGAAAGCCUGACGGAGCAACGCCGCGUGAGUGAUGAAGGUCUUCGGAUCGUAAAACUCUGUUAUUAGGGAAGAACAAAUGUGUAAGUAACUAUGCACGUCUUGACGGUACCUAAUCAGAAAGCCACGGCUAACUACGUG